UACGUAGGGUGCGAGCGUUAAUCGGAAUUACUGGGCGUAAAGCGUGCGCAGGCGGUUCGCUGUGUCCUGUGUGAAAGCCCCGGGCUUAACCUGGGAAUGGCAUUUGAGACUGCAUAGCUAGGGUGCGGAAGAGGGAAGCGGAAUUUCCGGUGUAGCGGUGAAAUGCGUAGAUAUCGGAAGGAACACCAGUGGCGAAAGCGGCUUCCUGGUCCAGCACCGACGUUCAGGCACGAAAGCGUGGGGAGCAAACAGG
Molecule: ribosomal RNA, 253 nt
Filed under: uncultured bacterium
Lineage: Bacteria
Description: partial 16S ribosomal RNA
Rfam family: Bacterial small subunit ribosomal RNA
Source: RNAcentral